CAUCAGCACUAUUAUACCCCUCACUAUCACCAUGAGAUCUAGGAGAGGAAGGCCGUGACCCAGAUGGUGAAGCCCUUGUAGAAACAACAGGCCAAGCAACUGCUCUUCUAGAUGAUCCAAUUCGCACAGAAUUUGAACUACCCGAUACAAAUCUCCUCGAGUUUGAAUUUGAAUUUGUUGCCAAAGGUUUUGGAGGUGGCACAGGAGGGGGUGGUGG
Molecule: unclassified non-coding RNA, 217 nt
Filed under: Hevea brasiliensis (rubber tree)
Lineage: Eukaryota; Viridiplantae; Streptophyta; Magnoliopsida; Malpighiales; Euphorbiaceae
Source: RNAcentral